UGUGGUCACAUUGACACUGCCUGGUGAA
This 28-nucleotide non-coding RNA is filed under the name Rattus norvegicus (Norway rat). The record is from RNAcentral. Lineage: Eukaryota; Metazoa; Chordata; Mammalia; Rodentia; Muridae.